GGUCCGGUAGCUCAGCUGGAUAGAGCAACAGCCUUCUAAGCUGUGGGUCAAGGGUUCGAAUCCCUUCCGGAUCA
This 74-nucleotide transfer RNA is filed under the name Bacteroidales bacterium. RNAcentral describes it as "tRNA-Arg". It matches the Rfam family "tRNA". Rfam says of the family: Transfer RNA (tRNA) molecules are approximately 80 nucleotides in length. Their secondary structure includes four short double-helical elements and three loops (D, anti-codon, and T loops). RNAcentral also lists the same sequence under 2 other names. The record is from RNAcentral. Lineage: Bacteria; Pseudomonadati; Bacteroidota; Bacteroidia; Bacteroidales.